Molecule: small nucleolar RNA, 133 nt
Organism: Erinaceus europaeus (western European hedgehog)
Lineage: Eukaryota; Metazoa; Chordata; Mammalia; Eulipotyphla; Erinaceidae
Source: Ensembl
CCCUCCUACAAAGGCUUGUCUGUGGCUCUCAGUCUUUAUAGACAUAUAAGAAGGAGAGAUAAAGAAAUGUGGACUUGGAGAAGUCUUGGGCCAGCUUACUCUAUGCAUGCUUAAGAUCAACUUUCCCACAAAG